CAUGCAAGUCGAACGAGUUCUGAUUAUUGAAAGGUGCUUGCAUCUUGAUUUAAUUUUGAACGAGUGGCGGACGGGUGAGUAACACGUGGGUAACCUGCCCUUAAGUGGGGGAUAACAUUUGGAAACAGAUGCUAAUACCGCAUAAAUCCAAGAACCGCAUGGUUCUUGGCUGAAAGAUGGCGUAAGCUAUCGCUUUUGGAUGGACCCGCGGCGUAUUAGCUAGUUGGUGAGGUAACGGCUCACCAAGGCAAUGAUACGUAGCCGAACUGAGAGGUUGAUCGGCCACAUUGGGACUGAGACACGGCCCAAACUCCUACGGGAGGCAGCAGUAGGGAAUCUUCCACAAUGGACGCAAGUCUGAUGGAGCAACGCCGCGUGAGUGAAGAAGGCUUUCGGGUCGUAAAACUCUGUUGUUGGAGAAGAAUGGUCGGCAGAGUAACUGUUGUCGGCGUGACGGUAUCCAACCAGAAAGCCACGGCUAACUACGUGCCAGCAGCCGCGGUAAUACGUAGGUGGCAAGCGUUAUCCGGAUUUAUUGGGCGUAAAGCGAGCGCAGGCGGUUUUUUAAGUCUGAUGUGAAAGCCCUCGGCUUAACCGAGGAAGUGCAUCGGAAACUGGGAAACUUGAGUGCAGAAGAGGACAGUGGAACUCCAUGUGUAGCGGUGAAAUGCGUAGAUAUAUGGAAGAACACCAGUGGCGAAGGCGGCUGUCUGGUCUGUAACUGACGCUGAGGCUCGAAAGCAUGGGUAGCGAACAGGAUUAGAUACCCUGGUAGUCCAUGCCGUAAACGAUGAAUGCUAGGUGUUGGAGGGUUUCCGCCCUUCAGUGCCGCAGCUAACGCAUUAAGCAUUCCGCCUGGGGAGUACGACCGCAAGGUUGAAACUCAAAGGAAUUGACGGGGGCCCGCACAAGCGGUGGAGCAUGUGGUUUAAUUCGAAGCAACGCGAAGAACCUUACCAGGUCUUGACAUCUUUUGAUCACCUGAGAGAUCAGGUUUCCCCUUCGGGGGCAAAAUGACAGGUGGUGCAUGGUUGUCGUCAGCUCGUGUCGUGAGAUGUUGGGUUAAGUCCCGCAACGAGCGCAACCCUUAUGACUAGUUGCCAGCAUUUAGUUGGGCACUCUAGUAAGACUGCCGGUGACAAACCGGAGGAAGGUGGGGAUGACGUCAAAUCAUCAUGCCCCUUAUGACCUGGGCUACACACGUGCUACAAUGGAUGGUACAACGAGUUGCGAGACCGCGAGGUCAAGCUAAUCUCUUAAAGCCAUUCUCAGUUCGGACUGUAGGCUGCAACUCGCCUACACGAAGUCGGAAUCGCUAGUAAUCGCGGAUCAGCACGCCGCGGUGAAUACGUUCCCGGGCCUUGUACACACCGCCCGUCACACCAUGAGAGUUUGUAACACCCGAAGCCGGUGGCGUAACCCUUUUAGGGAGCGA
This 1435-nucleotide ribosomal RNA is filed under the name Lacticaseibacillus rhamnosus. Its description in RNAcentral is "bacterial SSU rRNA". It matches the Rfam family "Bacterial small subunit ribosomal RNA". Lineage: Bacteria; Bacillati; Bacillota; Bacilli; Lactobacillales; Lactobacillaceae. The record is from RNAcentral.